UCAGAAAGGCACAGGGGAGGCAUAAUAAGGAUUCUAAGAAUUACAGCCCUGGGGCCACAAUGAGUGCUGGUCGAGGCUUGACUGUUUUGUUAACCAUUUUGGUUGCUGUUGCAAAAGCAGAAACUAUGGCAACGACAACAGAAACUACGGCAACGACAACAGAAACUGCGGCUCCAACAACUGGUUCAACUGCAGUAACAACAACAGAAACUGCGGCAACAACAACAACAACAGAAACUGCGGCUACAACAACUGGUUCAACUGCAUCAAUAACAACAGAAACUGCGGCUACAACAACUGGUUCAACAGCAGUAACAACAACAGAAACUGCAGCAACAACAACAACAGAAACUGCAUCGACAACAACUGGUUCAACUGCAGUAACAACAACAGAAACUGCGGCAACAACAACUGGUUCAACUGCAGUAACGACAACAGAAACUGCGGCAACAACAACAACAGAAACUGCGGCUACAACAACUGGUUCAACUGCAUCAAUAACAACAGAAACUGUGGCAACAACAACUGGUUCAACUGCAAUAACAACAACAGAAACUGCGGCAACAACAACAGAAACUGCGGCGACAACAACUGGUUCAACUGCAGUAACAACAACAGAAACUGCGGCUACAACAACUGGUUCAACUGCAUCAAUAACAACAGAAACUGCGGCAACAACAACUGGUUCAACUGCAAUAACAACAACAGAAACUGCGGCAACAACAACAGAAUCUGCAGCAACAACAACAACUGGUUCAACAACACCUGCUUCAACUGCGGCAACAACAACAACUGGUUCAACUGCAGCAGCAACAACAGAAACUGCGGCAACAACAACAGAAUCUGCAGCAACAACAACUGGUUCAACAACACCUGCUUCAACUGCGGCAACGACAACUGGUUCAACUGCAGCAACAACAACAGAAACUGCGGCAACAAUAACUGGUUCAACUGCCCCAACAGUAACAGAAACUGCGUCUACAACAACUGGUUCAACUGCAUCAAUAACAACAGAAACUGCGGCAACAACAACUGGUUCAACUGCAGCAACAACAACAGAAGCUGCAGCAACAACAACUGGUUCAACAACACCUGCUUCAACAGCAGCAACAACAACUGGUUCAACUGCGGCAGUAACAACACCUGGUUCAACUGCGGCAACAACAACAACUGGUUCAACAACAGUAACAACAACUGGUUCAACUGCAACAACAACACCUGGUUCAACAACAACACCUGGAUCAAAAACAGCAACAACAACUGGUUCAACAGCAGCAACAAUAACACCUAAUGCAACAACAACACCUGGAUCAACAACAACUGGUUCAACUGCGGAAACGACAACAGAAUCUGUGGCAACAACAACAAGUGGUUCAACAAUAGUAACAACAACUGGUUCAACUGCGUCAACAACACCAGAAACCGGAUCAUCAAGAACACCUGGAUCAACAACAACUGGUUCAACUGCGGCAACGACAACAGAAACUGCGGCAACAACAACAACUGGUUCAACUGCAUCAACAACAAUACCAGAAACUGUAUCAACAAAAACACCUGGUUCAGCGACAACUGGUUCAACAGCAGCAACAACAACACCUGGUUCAACAAAAACACCUGGCUCAACAACAACUGGUUCAACUGCAGCAACACCAACAGAAUCUGCGGCAACAACAACUGGGUCAACAGCGGCAACAACAACACCUGGUUCAACAGCAGCAGCAACAACACCUGGUUCAACAACAACACCUGGAUCAACAACAACUGGUUCAACAGCGGCAACAACAACACCUGGUUCAACAACAACAACUGGAUCAACAACAACUGGUUCAACUCCAAAAAACACAACACUUGUUUCAACAACAACUGGUUCAACACCAGCAACAACAACUGGUUCAACAACAGUAACAACAACUGGUUCAACUGCGGCAACAACAACACCUGCUUCAAUAACAACACCUGGAUCAACAACUACUGUUUCAACUGCGGAAACGACAACACAAUCUGCGGCAACAACAACAAAUAGUUCAACAACAGUAACAACAACUGGUUCAACUGCGGCAACAACAACGCCUGUUUCAACAACAACUGGUUCAACUGCUUCAACAACAACGCCUGUUUCAAAAACAACUGGUUCAACAGCAGCAACAACAACUGGUUCAACAACAGCAACAACAACUGGUUCAACUGCGGCAACAACGCCUGGUUCAACAACAACUGGUUCAACUCCAACAAACACAACACUUGUUUCAACAACAACUGGUUCAACACCAGCAACAACAACUGGUUCAACAACAGUAACAACAACUGGUUCAACAGCGGCAACAACAACACCUGUUUCAACGACAACUGGUUCAACACCAGCAACAACAACACCUGCUUCAAUAACAACACCUGGAUUAACAACUACUGUUUCAACUGCGGCAACGACAACACAAUCUGCGGCAACAACAACAAAUGGUUCAACACCAGCAACAACAACUGGUUCAACAGCAGCAGUAACAACAAAUGGUUCAACUGUGGCAACAACAGAAAAAACGACGAUGACGACGACGACGACGAGAACAACAACAACAACAACAACAACAACAACAACAACAACAACAACAACAACAACAACAACAACAACAGCAGCAGCAGUGGCGGUAGUUCGUACACCAGUUGUUGUUCUUGCAGCAGUUUUGGUUAAACCCUUUGUGCCUCAACUCAAAGAUAAAACUAGUCCAGAAUUUAUAGCACUUGCGACAGAAGUGGUAGUAGUGUAUGAAGUCAUCUAUAGAGCUCGAUAUGGUUUGCUUUUCAGCCGUGUUAUUGUCAUAGCAUUCAGACAAGCUGGGACCAGAACACGAGCAUCUGAUACUGAAGCAGAAGUGCAGGUUGUGUUUAACAACACAAUAACACCUGCACAAAUCCCAGAAGCUGAAGCUGUUCAACAAACCUUAGUUGAAGCGGUGUCUAACCCCAACAACACUUUCAACAUCAGUAUCAGUCCAGCAUCUGUCGUAGCAACCCAAAUAAACAUUUUUACAAAGCUGUUGCGGUUCGCAUCGGUUGGAGAGACAUUUACAGCUGACUUGCUGAUCUCAUCAUCUCCAGCAUUUAAAAAUAGAUCAUCACUGAUAGUGACAACACUUGAACCGAUCUACAAUAAAACAUUUUCUUCAUACAACUCAAUGGAAGUGACUGGAUUCCGAAAUGGAUCCAUCAUCACUGACAUCUACAUUCAGUUUGCAUCUACAUCAGCGCCAAAUAACACUGACAUUGAAAAUGUUCUGAUCAAUGCAGCUCCAAACAUAACAGCCUUCAACAUUACCAAUGUUGUUGUCAGUGACCCAGUGGCUUCAACUACAACAACAAUGACUGCACCUACAAACGCAACCACAGCAAACCUUACAAACACCACACCAGGAACAAAUACAACUACAGUGUCUACAACAGCUUCAAGUACACCUGUGAACGCUACAACACCAAUCAUCACUACCCCAACAAACGCAACCACAGUUUCUCCUACAACCACUACAACUGUAACAACUACAAUUGUUGAGGCUGUUACAACAAAGCAGUUGCAGUUCAGAGAUGUUGGAGCAACAUUUACACCUGACUUAGAGAACUCAUCAUCUUCAGCAUUUACAGAAAGAGCCAGACAGACAGUGUUAACACUCGAACCUUUCUACAAGACAACAUUUCCUUCAUUCCGCUCAAUGAGAGUGAUCAGAUUCAGAAAUGGAUCCAUCAUCAGUGACGUUGAUAUUGACUUUGCAUCUAUAUCAGUGCCUAAUAACACUGAGAUUGCAAAUGUUUUGAUCAAUGCAGCUCCAAACAUAACGACCUUCAACAUUAGCAAAGAGUCUGUUAUUGUCAGUGACCCAGUGGUUUUACCUACAACUGUGAGCACUACAACACCAAUGAUGACUACCCCUACAAACGCAACCAUAGCAAAUCUAACAAACACCACACCAGGAACAAAUACAAGUACAGUGUCUACAACAGCUUCAACUACACCUGUGAAUGCUAUAACACCAAUGAUGACUACCCUUACAAACGCAACCACAGCAAAUCUUACAAACACCACACCAGGAACAAAUACAACUACAGUGUCUACAACAGCUUCAACUACACCUGUGAAUGCUACAACACCAAUGAUGACUACCCCUACAAACGCAACCACAGCAAAUCUUACAAACACCACACCAGGAACAAAUACAACUACAGUGUCUACAACAGCUUCAACUACACCUGUGAAUGCUACAACACCAAUCAUCACUACCCCAACAAACGCAUCCACAGUUACUCCUACAACCACUACAACUGUAAGAACUACAACUAUUGAGGCUGUUACAACAAAGCAGUUGCAGUUCAGAGAUGUUGGAGCAACAUUUACACCUGACUUAGAGAACUCAUCAUCUUCAGCAUUUACAGAAAGAGCCAGACAGACAGUGUUAACACUCGAACCUUUCUACAAGACAUUUCCUUCAUUCCGCUCAAUGAGAGUGAUCAGAUUCAGAAAUGGAUCCAUCAUCAGUGACGUUGAUAUUGACUUUGCAUCUAUAUCAGUGCCUAAUAACACUGAGAUUGAAAAUGUUUUGAUCAAUGCAGCUCCAAACAUAACGACCUUCAACAUUAGCACAGAGUCUGUUAUUGUCAGUGACCCAGCGACUCCUACAACCACUUUGACUGCAACAACUACAACUACAGCGACUCCUACAACCACUACAACUGCAGCAACUACAACUGCAGCAACUGCAACUACAGCAACUCCCACAACCACUAAAGCUGUAACAACUACAACUGCUGAGCCAGUACAAAAAAAGGCAGUGCAAUUCAGAUCUGUUAAUGGGAUAUUUAUAACUGACUUGCUGACAUCAUCAUCCACAGCUUUUAAAGAACGAGCUUCACUGAUAGAGACAGCACUUAAACCUUUCUACCUGGCCAGAUUUCCUUCAUUCCGCUCCAUCAAUGUGACUGCAUUCAGUAAGGGAUCCAUUAUCAAUAACAUGGACAUUGGAUUUGCAAUGUCACUGGUCCCUAAUGCAAAAGAGAUUGCACAAGUUUUGAUUGAUGCAGCCAAGAUAACACCCUUCGACAUUGAUAUCAGUUCUAUUCUUGUGGACGGCAUAUUGUCACAUGGAGUGAGCCACAAGAUCAGUCUCCUCACUGCUUCCUGUAUGGUGCUGCUGUCAUGGCUCCUGUCAGGCCAGCAAUAACAUCUGCGCUGAUGCUCUUGUGAAAUAACUUGAGGAAAUGUCUCCUGUGACUGGGUAUGAAAAAGGACUUUGUUCCAACUGAAAAUCCACGAGGAGCUUCUGAUGAAGAGCAAUCAUACCAUGAUUUAGAAGUAGCUAAAACUGAAAUUAACCUUUAUGUUAUCUAUCAAUAUAAACUUUAACAUAAUUUCCAACAAAGGUGUCAUUGGUUGUCAAUUUAUAAUGUAAGUCCUGUGAUAAAGUCAUACUGUAAGUUAUUAAUAUCAAUGAGAUCAAGUUUUAAUCCAUGAAGCAUCUCCUCAGCUUCUGACUCUGAGAGUGAAAAAAAAUGAAAGUGAUAAUCAGGAAAUCAUCACCUCACCUGGCAUUCAUGAAAUAUAAGAUGUGUGAAAAUGUCCUCUUUGGUCACCUUUACCAGUCAAUAUUUAAAUAUAUUUCUUGUAUAUAUUGUAUUCUAUUAUUGUAUGUAUUCUGUUUGUAUUGUAUUGGAUAAUUAUGGUAAAAAUUCUAAGUGAUCCUGAUACACACAUUUAAAAUUAUUUAAAGAACUGUCCCUAUAAAAAAAUAUAAUAUUAAUAUCACCUUUUUCUUUCUGAAGCAGGUUCUUCACAAGUCUAUCAUGAUAAACUAAAGAAGCGUCAAUUAAAGACAUUGAACAAACCCUGCCUAUCUUGAUUUUUAAAUAUACUACUCUAAUCAACUACUCUAAUUUUUCUUUUCAAAAAAUUGAUUAGGAAAUACUAUCAUAGCACUCUUAAGACCCCUUCAUAGAUUUUUGAUACAAGUAAAACUAAAUCUAAUUCUAAUAAUU
This is a long non-coding RNA of Astatotilapia calliptera (eastern happy), 6012 nucleotides long. The record is from Ensembl. Lineage: Eukaryota; Metazoa; Chordata; Actinopteri; Cichliformes; Cichlidae.